GUGAAAGUGUUGCCAGGUGGUUAGGUGGAUUGUGUAUUUGCAUGCCAGGAAACAUAAACAUUUGGCAGCCAGGCCGGUAUUAAGUAAGCAGGGCAACAGCCCGGAUCAUGAAUAGUGGAGGCAGUUGUGGGAGUGCCAACGGUACAUACAGCUGACUUUCAU
Molecule: non-coding RNA, 162 nt
Filed under: unclassified sequences
Also listed under: 1 other name
Description: Clostridiales-1 RNA
Rfam family: Clostridiales-1 RNA
Source: RNAcentral